GUGUUGCUGAGGUGGGCCGUCUGCAUU
Molecule: non-coding RNA, 27 nt
Filed under: Mus musculus (house mouse)
Lineage: Eukaryota; Metazoa; Chordata; Mammalia; Rodentia; Muridae
Source: RNAcentral